CCGCUCCGUGCGCCAAUCUUAUCGUCGCCGUGAUUUCAGGUGCUGUCAUUGCUACAAGCAAGCUAAAGGGCACGGCAUACCGCGGGAUGCAUCCUUCCGGCAAACGUUUGCUGUCCGCGCAAAACGGUAAGGAAUCGGUACGAUUCUAGUUGAGGCUUAUCGCGCGGAUCUCUACGUUGCCGAUUUGACGAUUCCCCUCCCACCGGCUGACAUAUAACAUACAAAUCAACAGCUCCGUUGUAUUAAUGAUACUUUAUCCCCGUUGUAUCUGGGCUGUCAAGGUAUUUUUGUUCGAUUCUAUCGUGCAAUCAAACGCUAAGAUUGUAAUGUCGAUUCGACGGUCGCUUUAUCAUAUAUUCGCGUGCUAUGACUCCUACCUGUUUGCUUACCUUAAAAAAAUGUUAUUAAUUCUGCUGCGUUUUCCGGCCAACCUCGGCCUCUGUUUCCCGGUGGCGUUCUCCGAAUGCAUUUGGCGUGUC
Molecule: long non-coding RNA, 479 nt
Filed under: Androctonus crassicauda
Lineage: Eukaryota; Metazoa; Arthropoda; Arachnida; Scorpiones; Buthidae
Source: RNAcentral